GGGGAUGUAGCUCAGAUGGUAGAGCGCUCGCUUAGCAUGAGAGAUGUACGGGGAUCGAUACCCCGCAUCUCCA
Beta vulgaris subsp. vulgaris (sugar beet) is the source of this 73-nucleotide transfer RNA. It matches the Rfam family "tRNA". Rfam says of the family: Transfer RNA (tRNA) molecules are approximately 80 nucleotides in length. Their secondary structure includes four short double-helical elements and three loops (D, anti-codon, and T loops). Further hydrogen bonds mediate the characteristic L-shaped molecular structure. tRNAs have two regions of fundamental functional importance: the anti-codon, which is responsible for specific mRNA codon recognition, and the 3' end, to which the tRNAs corresponding amino acid is attached (by aminoacyl-tRNA synthetases). tRNAs cope with the degeneracy of the genetic code in two manners: having more than one tRNA (with a specific anti-codon) for a particular amino acid; and 'wobble' base-pairing, i.e. permitting non-standard base-pairing at the 3rd anti-codon position. NCBI's taxonomy places the organism in Eukaryota, Viridiplantae, Streptophyta, Magnoliopsida, Caryophyllales, Amaranthaceae. The record is from Rfam.